UGGGGGAUAUUGCACAAUGGGCGAAAGCCUGAUGCAGCAACGCCGCGUGAGUGAAGAAGGUAUUCGUAUCGUAAAGCUCUGUCGUAUGAGAAGAAAAAAAUGACGGUAUCAUACAAGAAAGCCCCGGCUAACUACGUGCCAGCAGCCGCGGUAAUACGUAGGGGGCAAGCGUUAUCCGGAAUUACUGGGCGUAAAGGGUGCGUAGGCGGUAAUUUAAGUCAGAGUUAAAAGGCAAGGGCUCAACCCUUGUAUGGCUUUGAAACUAAAUUACUUGAGUAUAGGAGAGGAAAGUGGAAUUCCCAGUGUAGCGGUGAAAUGCGUAGAUAUUGGGAGGAAUACCAGUGGCGAAGGCGACUUUCUGGACUAAAACUGACGCUGAGGCACGAAAGCAUGGGUAGCAAACA
Molecule: ribosomal RNA, 404 nt
Filed under: uncultured Bacillota bacterium
Lineage: Bacteria; Bacillati; Bacillota
Description: bacterial SSU rRNA
Rfam family: Bacterial small subunit ribosomal RNA
Source: RNAcentral